GUUUAGGGUCAGUCACUGUGCUCAGGUAUUCUGCCACUGUGUACUCUCUGUUUAGGGCCAAAUAGCAUUCUAGUUUGCCCUGUUUUGUUGUUAAUUACUUGACACAUUGGAAAUAAUUAUAUUUUUGUUUUCUCAUGAUUUGGUUGGGUCUAAUUGUGCUGCUGUCCUGGGGCUCUUAGGGGACUCUUCUCCAGGUUCAUCUCUCUGUAGGGUGUGUUUGUGUUUGUGAACAGAGCCCCAGGACCAGCUUGCUUAGGGGACUCUUCUCCAGGUUCAUCUCUCUGUAGGGUGUGUUUGUGUUUGUGAACAGAGCCCCAGGACCAGCUUGCUUAGGGGACUCUUCUCCAGGUUCAUCUCUCUGUAGGGUGUGUUUGUGAACAGAGCCCCAGGACCAGCUUGCUUAGGGAACUCUUCUCCAGGUUCAUCUCUCUGUAGGGUGUGUUUGUGAACAGAGCCCCAGGACCAGCUUGCUUAGGGGACUCUUCUCCAGGUUCAUCUCUCUGUAGGGUGUGUUUGUGUUUGUGAACAGAGCCCC
This is a long non-coding RNA of Oncorhynchus keta (chum salmon), 535 nucleotides long. RefSeq lists it as uncharacterized. The transcript has 3 exons. The record is from RefSeq and is a predicted model, not a curated record. Lineage: Eukaryota; Metazoa; Chordata; Actinopteri; Salmoniformes; Salmonidae.